AUGUGUGAGUGUGGGGCCUGAAAUUUUGCACACAUUUACAAUAAUUGUAAAUGUGUUGAAAAUCGUUUGCACAAC
This 75-nucleotide microRNA precursor is filed under the name Drosophila persimilis. RNAcentral describes it as "microRNA dpe-mir-287 precursor". Its record names the gene dpe-mir-287. It matches the Rfam family "mir-287 microRNA precursor family". The record is from miRBase by way of RNAcentral. Lineage: Eukaryota; Metazoa; Arthropoda; Insecta; Diptera; Drosophilidae.